Long non-coding RNA from Engraulis encrasicolus (European anchovy), 1064 nucleotides. RefSeq lists it as uncharacterized. Lineage: Eukaryota; Metazoa; Chordata; Actinopteri; Clupeiformes; Engraulidae. The record is from RefSeq and is a predicted model, not a curated record. The transcript has 3 exons.
CAUUGACGUCACAAUAUUACGUAAUCGAUUUUGCUGGACGGCAGAAGUACACAUUCGUACAUAGGAAUUAUAUGCAGACGAAGACAACUUUGACCAUAAAAUACCAAAGAAACACGUAGUUCUUGUAUUUUUUUUAAACGGGAUAUGUACCUGGCGUUAUCAGGCUAGGUUGGCCACGGUGGAUGUGUUCAAAUCAUAGAUUUAUUCAAAUGUAUUCUGCUCCACUAGAUGGCAUAACGGGGACGGGCGGUACGACAAACUGGGAGAAGAAGAGAAAGUUGUUGCUUGCUUCCAGCCAUGAACUUACUCUGCCUGCGAUAUAUUUUUUUAUCCCGUGUUUAUUUUCUUCAGUAAAGUUGUGAACUUAAACCAAACCUCUGCAUUGGCAAAAUAAGCACAUUUAUGCACCGUUUCUUCAUUGGUGGCUGGGCACCGCGGCUGCAUCCUCUUCUUCGUGGCAUGGCACAGUAAUUGCAGGUUCAUCAGUCAGGUGGUCAGCACCCAAACUAAAACAUGAGUCAUGGUGGCCAGGAUGACGUCCAAGAAUAGCAUCCCAGCAGCACAGAUGGGGGAGCCAACAUGAAGAGGUGUCCAGAGAGGCUUCUUCCUCUUUGGCUUUGCAGCAGCACCAGGACCUCACCAUCAGUGAUGCUGUUCCCCUCAUCCAUCGGGCCUACCCUUACAUUCCUCCCCUGAUGCACUGAUCACCUGUACCAGUUGUUGGAGUUUUCAGAAGGGCUCUAAAUUAACUUUUGACGUUUAUUCACUAGUAGCCAAAAUGGCUAGUAUGUUAAUCUCCAAACAUACCGGUACAUUAAAUAAUGGGUCAAAGUGCCAAGUAUGUUUUCUUUUCUACCAGCAAAAAAAUUCCCAGCAUUUGGCUGGUUGGCUGGUGAGCCCUGGUUGUCAUUGAUGGUGAGUAGCUGUGAUAAUAAAUAACUGAAAUGAUGAAGUCCAUCCAGACAUGUCUUGCUUAUUUUAUUGUACUAAUACAACAACGUAGAACAUUUUCUGUGAAAGCCCAACUGGGAAACUCCAACUCCCAUUGACAUUGUGACACAGCA